This 275-nucleotide long non-coding RNA is filed under the name Bos taurus (domestic cattle). RNAcentral's name for it is "long non-coding RNA NONBTAT009502". Lineage: Eukaryota; Metazoa; Chordata; Mammalia; Artiodactyla; Bovidae. The record is from RNAcentral.
GCAGGCGAGGGUCAUGUGCCAGUUAUUUGAUGGGAGCUUGCUGAGGCCUUUAAGAACUGCCCUGGCCCUCAGAGGGUGUCCAGUUGCUUAUCCCUACGCUCUGCUUUGCUUCAGGCCUGGUUCCGAUUCCUGUCUGUAAUAGAGGAUGAGUAUUGUGAUGUUCACAGUGUGAUAUGAUAGAGGACUGCAGAUCGAUGCUCUUGAUAAAUGCGAGAGGAUUGUUUUCUCUCUUCUAGUAUUUUUAGAGAAUACAGAGUUAAAGAAAAUCAUACGUC